RNAcentral lists this ribosomal RNA (579 nucleotides) under Triticum aestivum (bread wheat). RNAcentral describes it as "partial small subunit ribosomal RNA". The record is from RNAcentral. Lineage: Eukaryota; Viridiplantae; Streptophyta; Magnoliopsida; Poales; Poaceae.
AUGGCCGCCACGCACCACCGCCCCCUCCACGCCCUCCUCGGCGGCGGCGCAGUCGCCGACCUGCUCCUCUGGAGGCGGAGGAACACCUCCGCGGCAGCCGUUGCGGGCGCCACGCUCUUCUGGUUCCUCUUCGAGCGCGCCGUGUACAGCCUCGCGUCGGUCCUCUCCAACGCCGUCCUCCUCCUCGUCGACAUCCUCUUCUUCUGGGCCAAGUCCGCCUCGCUGCUCAACAGGGUUCUGGUGGCGAUGCCGACGGUCGUCGAGAGGUUCGUGGACUGGACGGUGUCGUGGCUGCCGAUGUACGAAGAGGCGAAGCUGCUGCUCGUCAUCUACCUCUGGCACCCCAGCACACGGGGUGCGGGGCACGUGUACGAUGGCUUCCUCCAUCCGCUGGUGGCGUGGCACGAGGCCGACAUCGACCGGGGCCUGCUUGAGCUGAGGGCGAGGGCGAAGGACGUGACGGCGUCACAACUCAAGGCGGCGGCUGUCAUCGGUCAAGUGUGGCUCGGCGAGGCUGCCCGCUGUGUUUCGUCGCAGCUGCAGGCCGCGAGAUCAGGCCGGGAAGGUGCCACGCAUUGA